UACGGAGGGUGCGAGCGUUGUUCGGAAUCACUGGGCGUAAAGGGCGUGUAGGCGGUCCGCUAAGUCUGAUGUGAAAGCCCGGGGCUCACCCCCGGAAGUGCAUUGGAAACUGGCGGACUCGAGUCCCGGAGAGGAGAGUGGAAUUCCUGGUGUAGCGGUGAAAUGCGUAGAUAUCAGGAGGAACAUCAGUGGCGAAAGCGGCUUCCUGGACCAGUACCGACGUUCAGGCACGAAAGCGUGGGGAGCAAACAGG
RNAcentral lists this ribosomal RNA (253 nucleotides) under uncultured bacterium. Its description in RNAcentral is "partial 16S ribosomal RNA". It matches the Rfam family "Bacterial small subunit ribosomal RNA", at positions 524 to 776 of the family's 1533-position model. The record is from RNAcentral.